ACGAACGCUGGCGGCAGGCUUAACACAUGCAAGUCGAGCGCAAUACUAUCUUCGGAUAGUGGAGAGCGGCGGACGGGUGAGUAACGCGUGGGAACCUACCCUUUGGUUCGGAAUAACUUUGGGAAACCGAAGCUAAUACCGGAUACGCCCCGUAAGGGGGAAAGAUUUAUUGCCGAAGGAUGGGCCCGCGUUGGAUUAGGUAGUUGGUAGGGUAAUGGCCUACCAAGCCUACGAUCCAUAGCUGUUCUGAGAGGAAGAUCAGCCACACUGGGACUGAGACACGGCCCAGACUCCUACGGGAGGCAGCAGUGGGGAAUCUUGGACAAUGGGGGAAACCCUGAUCCAGCGAUGCCGCGUGAGUGAUGAAGGCCUUCGGGUUGUAAAGCUCUUUUGGUAGGGACGAUGAUGACGGUACCUACAGAAUAAGCCCCGGCUAACUCCGU
Molecule: ribosomal RNA, 443 nt
Filed under: uncultured bacterium
Lineage: Bacteria
Description: bacterial SSU rRNA
Rfam family: Bacterial small subunit ribosomal RNA
Source: RNAcentral